GAAUUCGCCCUUAGAGUUUGAUCCUGGCUCAGAACGAACGCUGGCGGCAGGCCUAACACAUGCAAGUCGAGCGCACCUUCGGGUGAGCGGCGGACGGGUUAGUAACGCGUGGGAACGUACCCUUCUCUAUGGAAUAGCCAUUGGAAACGAUGAGUAAUACCAUAUACGCCCUUCGGGGGAAAGAUUUAUCGGAGAAGGAUCGGCCCGCGUUAGAUUAGAUAGUUGGUGGGGUAAUGGCCUACCAAGUCUACGAUCUAUAGCUGGUUUUAGAGGAUGAUCAGCAACACUGGGACUGAGACACGGCCCAGACUCCUACGGGAGGCAGCAGUGGGGAAUCUUAGACAAUGGGCGCAAGCCUGAUCUAGCCAUGCCGCGUGUGUGAUGAAGGUCUUAGGAUCGUAAAGCACUUUCGCUAGGGAUGAUAAUGACAGUACCUAGUAAAGAAACCCCGGCUAACUCCGUGCCAGCAGCCGCGGUAAUAAGGGCG
Molecule: ribosomal RNA, 487 nt
Filed under: uncultured Roseobacter sp.
Lineage: Bacteria; Pseudomonadati; Pseudomonadota; Alphaproteobacteria; Rhodobacterales; Roseobacteraceae
Description: bacterial SSU rRNA
Rfam family: Bacterial small subunit ribosomal RNA
Source: RNAcentral